This is a non-coding RNA of Ornithorhynchus anatinus (platypus), 138 nucleotides long. Lineage: Eukaryota; Metazoa; Chordata; Mammalia; Monotremata; Ornithorhynchidae. The record is from Rfam.
CCCAUCUCAGGAUCACAUCUGGAGAGUUUCCAGUAUUCUACCAGUCUCGGCUACAGGAGGGAGAGUCAAGCAAAGGCCUACCCAUUCCAUUCCUAGCUUGGGCAGUGGCUAGUGAGUGGAAGGCAAUCAGCUAGAAGU